Molecule: ribosomal RNA, 429 nt
Filed under: Actinomycetes bacterium
Lineage: Bacteria; Bacillati; Actinomycetota; Actinomycetes
Description: Actinobacteria bacterium partial 16S ribosomal RNA
Rfam family: Bacterial small subunit ribosomal RNA
Source: RNAcentral
UAGGGAAUCUUCCGCAAUGGGCGAAAGCCUGACGGAGCAACGCCGCGUGAGUGAUGAAGGUCUUCGGAUCGUAAAACUCUGUUAUCAGGGAAGAACAAAUGUGUAAGUAACUAUGCACGUCUUGACGGUACCUAAUCAGAAAGCCACGGCUAACUACGUGCCAGCAGCCGCGGUAAUACGUAGGUGGCAAGCGUUAUCCGGAAUUAUUGGGCGUAAAGCGCGCGUAGGCGGUUUUUUAAGUCUGAUGUGAAAGCCCACGGCUCAACCGUGGAGGGUCAUUGGAAACUGGAAGACUUGAGUGCGGAAGAGGAAAGUGGAAUUCCAUGUGUAGCGGUGAAAUGCGCAGAGAUAUGGAAGAACACCAGUGGCGAAGGCGACUUUCUGGUCUGUAACUGACGCUGAUGUGCGAAAGCGUGGGGAUCAAACAGG